RNAcentral lists this ribosomal RNA (253 nucleotides) under uncultured Acidobacteriota bacterium. RNAcentral describes it as "uncultured Acidobacteria bacterium partial 16S ribosomal RNA". It matches the Rfam family "Bacterial small subunit ribosomal RNA", at positions 524 to 776 of the family's 1533-position model. Lineage: Bacteria; Pseudomonadati; Acidobacteriota. The record is from RNAcentral.
UACAGAGGGGGCAAGCGUUGUUCGGAAUUACUGGGCGUAAAGGGCGCGUAGGCGGCCUGCUAAGUCGAUCGUGAAAUCCCCGGGCUUAACCCGGGAACUGCGACCGAUACUGGUUGGCUUGAAUUCGGGAGAGGGAUGCGGAAUUCCAGGUGUAGCGGUGAAAUGCGUAGAUAUCUGGAGGAACACCGGUGGCGAAGGCGGCAUCCUGGACCGGCAUUGACGCUGAGGCGCGAAAGCCAGGGGAGCAAACGGC